This 524-nucleotide ribosomal RNA is filed under the name Bifidobacterium bifidum. RNAcentral's name for it is "bacterial SSU rRNA". It matches the Rfam family "Bacterial small subunit ribosomal RNA", at positions 165 to 701 of the family's 1533-position model. Lineage: Bacteria; Bacillati; Actinomycetota; Actinomycetes; Bifidobacteriales; Bifidobacteriaceae. The record is from RNAcentral.
AAUGCCGGAUGUUCCACAUGAUCGCAUGUGAUUGUGGGAAAGAUUCUAUCGGCGUGGGAUGGGGUCGCGUCCUAUCAGCUUGUUGGUGAGGUAACGGCUCACCAAGGCUUCGACGGGUAGCCGGCCUGAGAGGGCGACCGGCCACAUUGGGACUGAGAUACGGCCCAGACUCCUACGGGAGGCAGCAGUGGGGAAUAUUGCACAAUGGGCGCAAGCCUGAUGCAGCGACGCCGCGUGAGGGAUGGAGGCCUUCGGGUUGUAAACCUCUUUUGUUUGGGAGCAAGCCUUCGGGUGAGUGUACCUUUCGAAUAAGCGCCGGCUAACUACGUGCCAGCAGCCGCGGUAAUACGUAGGGCGCAAGCGUUAUCCGGAUUUAUUGGGCGUAAAGGGCUCGUAGGCGGCUCGUCGCGUCCGGUGUGAAAGUCCAUCGCUUAACGGUGGAUCUGCGCCGGGUACGGGCGGGCUGGAGUGCGGUAGGGGAGACUGGAAUUCCCGGUGUAACGGUGGAAUGUGUAGAUAUCGGA